GACGAACGCUGGCGGCGUGCCUAAUACAUGCAAGUAGAACGCUGAAGAGAGGAGCUUGCUCUUCUUGGAUGAGUUGCGAACGGGUGAGUAACGCGUAGGUAACCUGCCUUGUAGCGGGGGAUAACUAUUGGAAACGAUAGCUAAUACCGCAUAACAAUGGAUGACCCAUGUCAUUUAUUUGAAAGGGGCAAAUGCUCCACUACAAGAUGGACCUGCGUUGUAUUAGCUAGUAGGUGAGGUAACGGCUCACCUAGGCGACGAUACAUAGCCGACCUGAGAGGGUGAUCGGCCACACUGGGACUGAGACACGGCCCAGACUCCUACGGGAGGCAGCAGUAGGGAAUCUUCGGCAAUGGGGGCAACCCUGACCGAGCAACGCCGCGUGAGUGAAGAAGGUUUUCGGAUCGUAAAGCUCUGUUGUAAGUCAAGAACGAGUGUGAGAGUGGAAAGUUCACACUGUGACGGUAGCUUACCAGAAAGGGACGGCUAACUACGUGCCAGCAGCCGCGGUAAUACGUAGGUCCCGAGCGUUGUCCGGAUUUAUUGGGCGUAAAGCGAGCGCAGGCGGUUUGAUAAGUCUGAAGUUAAGGCUGUGGCUCAACCAUAGUUCGCUUUGGAAACUGUCAAACUUGAGUGCAGAAGGGGAGAGUGGAAUUCCAUGUGUAGCGGUGAAAUGCGUAGAUAUAUGGAGGAACACCGGUGGCGAAAGCGGCUCUCUGGUCUGUAACUGGCGCUGAGGCUCGAAAGCGUGGGGAGCGAACAGGAUUAGAUACCCUGGUAGUCCACGCCGUAAACGAUGAGUGCUAGGUGUUGGAUCCUUUCCGGGAUUCAGUGCCGCAGCUAACGCAUUAAGCACUCCGCCUGGGGAGUACGACCGCAAGGUUGAAACUCAAAGGAAUUGACGGGGGCCCGCACAAGCGGUGGAGCAUGUGGUUUAAUUCGAAGCAACGCGAAGAACCUUACCAGGUCUUGACAUCCCGAUGCUAUUUCUAGAGAUAGAAAGUUACUUCGGUACAUCGGUGACAGGUGGUGCAUGGUUGUCGUCAGCUCGUGUCGUGAGAUGUUGGGUUAAGUCCCGCAACGAGCGCAACCCCUAUUGUUAGUUGCCAUCAUUCAGUUGGGCACUCUAGCGAGACUGCCGGUAAUAAACCGGAGGAAGGUGGGGAUGACGUCAAAUCAUCAUGCCCCUUAUGACCUGGGCUACACACGUGCUACAAUGGUUGGUACAACGAGUUGCGAGUCGGUGACGGCAAGCUAAUCUCUUAAAGCCAAUCUCAGUUCGGAUUGUAGGCUGCAACUCGCCUACAUGAAGUCGGAAUCGCUAGUAAUCGCGGAUCAGCACGCCGCGGUGAAUACGUUCCCGGGCCU
RNAcentral lists this ribosomal RNA (1368 nucleotides) under uncultured bacterium. RNAcentral describes it as "bacterial SSU rRNA". It matches the Rfam family "Bacterial small subunit ribosomal RNA", at positions 28 to 1381 of the family's 1533-position model. The record is from RNAcentral.